UCCUUAGCGCUGCACUUUUCUGCGCGGUUCUCUUUAUGGCACUGGUUUGACGUGGGGGUGGAGUCAAGAAACGGGGGCACGCCCCCGCGAAACACGUCAUCGGCAGGAGACGCAGAUCGCAACAGGACAGAUCAAGCAUGGCAGAGCAGAUGCAAGUGGGAGGAUUCCAGGUAUGUAAAGGUGAUUGUUUCCUUUUAUUUAUCGUUACAAUGUGCAUUGUUUUUUUUUUCUAAAUGCGAUUAUUAUUAACGGCAUUUGCCAAAGAAGUUAGAGAUAAUUUGCACGUGAACUUGUUGUAAAAGGUUAGCAUCGUACGUCAGUUUUCAUAAUUUGCACGCUUUUUUACUGUUGAUGAAUGUCUAUUAUGAUUUUUGUUUUUUGAGCAGAUUGUACAUGAAUAAAUAAAAAGUAAAUUGAUUUAAACAAACGUCCCAUCCCAACAUUUUUAAAAUUCUGCGUUAGUUGGCUAAGUUUAAACGAUGCUCAUUGUUAGUGUAUGAUUUAUUUUGCUAUAACACGUUUUAGCAGAGAGAGAAUCCAGAUGUUGCUACUGUGGCACACAAUUUAAUAAAUCUUCUGACCCAAAGCCUGGGUCAGAUUCAGGCAGCUCAGGGUCAUCAGCAGCAGCAACAACAGCAGCCUUCUGCUAUUACUCCAAGAAUAGAGCAGGAUAUGACCAGGUUAUCAUCAGCACUCUCUCCAAACAAUUAAAUGCUUUCAUUUGUUGAUCUUUUGCACCUUUUAAUAAAAGGAACACUGUUUAUUGUUUUAUAGAGCUUUUCCUGGGAUGUAAAAAAAAAAAAAAAGAAAAAGAAAGAAAAACCGCACACCCUCAAGUGCAAUCAAAAGCAACAGCUUGAAAGCCAUUUAGCAUUCACAUUUAUCUUUUAAGGGUCAAUAUCACUAUAAAGUGCCUCUGAGACUGCACAAUUUCCAAAAUAAAAAGUUGUGAUUUUCCAUUUAACUUCAUAUGUUUUGUAUUAAGGAGACCUUAGGCUGUUAGAAAUGCAUAUUGGUCAAGCUCCAGCAUUUUUUAUAAAUUAACUGCAAGCAGGCAAUAUACAAGCAAACCACAAAAUAUGUCCACCCUGUCAUGGACAAAUUUAAAGUAGUUUAAAUACAUUUUCAUUGCAUAGUGAUUAUGAAAUGUAGAUUUGCAGAAAGAUAAUGUGUCCCUUUCUCAACAAAACAUUUUAGUUAAUGGUAAAAGUCUUUUGAUGAUAACGAAAUUACUGCUAAAAUAUUUAUUCCCCAAUAAAAUAUGCAACUUGCACAUUCUUUUCUAAAUAAAAUCUAACAACAAAGAUAUUUAGUCAAACUUUAAAAUAAUACUAACUGGCCUUCAUUUGUUUAUUAAUAAAUCGCACAAAAUAUUUUAUUAACUUGUUAAAAUAAUUUAUUUUAAGAAAAGUUCAAGAUGACAGGGUGGACCUUGGCAUGACAGGGUGGACAAAUGCUUUAAUGCUGCGUUCACACCGAACGCGUCUGGAGCGUCUGAUUUACGUUAAGUCAAUGCAAACGCGCGUCUAGAGGUCCUGCGACGCGAAUCAAGAUUCUAGCGUGGCGCGAAUCGGCUGUUGACGCGCGAAUGGCGCGGCGCAAAUUGAGCGUUCACGCGCCUGACACGCGAAUUGAGCGUCUGAUGCCCUAGACGCCCGAGUUGAAAAAUCUGAACUUUGGCGUAAAUUUGCGGCGCGUUAACCAAUCAGGGACUCUGCUUUGGAGUUACGUGUUUAUGGCGUGAUCAGCGGUGGAAGACCAGAACAAAGAUGGAGGACAAAUUGAUAGUUGCGGUGUGUGGCCACCCUGAAUUGUAUGAUGUAUCAUCAUAUUUUUAUCGAGACAGGAAUAAAAAGGACCUUGCCUGGAAGAGGAUAAGCGAGGAAAUCGGACAGUCUGAGGAAUGGUGCAGAAAAAGAUGGAAGAGUCUGAGGGACACAUAUUUGAAAGAGAGGAGAAAGGAGACAGAGAAAAGGAGUGGGUCAGCAGCAGAGUCAGCCAAAAGGUGGAAGUACUCUGCGGUCCUGUCCUUCCUCGAUCCCUUCGUCUCCCCGCGGGAGACGAGUGGGAAUAUGGAGAGUAGGGACGGGGAUAAGCAGACCGCAGGGUAUGACCACCAGAGUCAGGCAGAAGCAGCAGCUAUCGGAGACAGGAGAGCCAGCUGAUUCUUUGGAAGGCAGUGAGCCUGGGUCACCUCCACCAGAGCCCGAGUCCCCUCUGCCAGAGCCUGCUGCUGCUUCUCCUGCUCAGGCUGGCCCAUCAGCUGCUGCUGUACCCACUGUACCACCAUCGAGGAGGAGGAGAAGGCCUCCGGAAGAGUCCAUGAAUUUUGAAAAGGAGCUGUUAACAGCUCUGAGAUCCAGGCCUCAACCUCCUCCCUGCUCCGAAGAUGAGCAUUUUCUUUUAAGUCUGCUUCCAUCACUGCAGAAGUUGCCGCCUCAGACGAAGGAAUUCGUCAAAUUUCAAAUAAAUAAAUUAAUUUAUGAAAGCAGCACUGUUCUGCUUAAUUUGGAAACAUUGGAUUCUACGGAGUAGAUUUUUUUUUUUUUAUUAAAUGAGGCAUUAAUUUCUGCAGGGAAUGAAACAGACUUUGUCUCCUUUCUCCUCUUUAAUUUGUGUCCCUCACUAUCCCAUCGUCCCUCUUCCAAUGCAUGGUCCUUUUUAUUCCUGUCUCACAUGUAAAUAGUUUAAAUGUUAUUUUUAUAAAGUUAUUAAUGUUAAUUUGUCACAUGUAAAUAGUUCAAAAGUUAUUUUUAUAUUA
This is a long non-coding RNA of Megalobrama amblycephala (Wuchang bream), 2761 nucleotides long. RefSeq lists it as uncharacterized. The record is from RefSeq and is a predicted model, not a curated record. NCBI's taxonomy places the organism in Eukaryota, Metazoa, Chordata, Actinopteri, Cypriniformes, Xenocyprididae. The transcript is spliced from 4 exons.